Molecule: long non-coding RNA, 240 nt
Organism: Brassica oleracea var. oleracea
Lineage: Eukaryota; Viridiplantae; Streptophyta; Magnoliopsida; Brassicales; Brassicaceae
Exons: 3
Source: RefSeq, a predicted model, not a curated record
GCAAUACUCUAAAUACAUUAGGAUUUCCAGAAGAAGAAAAAUAGUUGUUGCAUAUUCUAAAUCACAAGAAAUGGCAGCAAACAAGUUUUCAUCUCUUUUGUUAUUUUCAUUGAUGGUAUCUACGUUUAUCCUUUUACCAAUGGCUUCAGGACAAAUCCGUAUAUGUCCGGUAAGGAGACCACCUUGUAAGGUCAGCCAAGGAUGUAUACAAAACUGUAUAAAAUUAGGGUACAUGACAGG